AUUGAACGCUGGCGGCAGGCCUAACACAUGCAAGUCGAGCGAGCGGCGGACGGGUGAGUAAUGUCUGGGAAACUGCCUGAUGGAGGGGGAUAACUACUGGAAAAGGUAGCUAAUACCGCAUACCAUCAGAUGGGCCCAGAGGGGAUUAGCUAGUAGGGGGGGUAACGGCUCACCUAGGCGACGAUCCCUAGCUGGUCUGAGAGGAUGACCAGCCAAACUGGAACUGAGAAACGGCCCAGGUGCCUACGUGAGGAAGCAGGGGGGAAUAUUGCACAAUGGGCGCAAGCCUGAUGCAGCCAUGCCGCGUGUGUGAAGAAGGCCUUCGGGUUGUAAAGCACGUUCAGCGGGGAGGCGUUACCCGCAGAAGAAGCACCGGCUAACUCCGUGCCAGCAGCCGCGGUAAUAC
This 406-nucleotide ribosomal RNA is filed under the name uncultured bacterium. Its description in RNAcentral is "partial 16S ribosomal RNA". It matches the Rfam family "Bacterial small subunit ribosomal RNA", at positions 29 to 526 of the family's 1533-position model. The record is from RNAcentral.